This 134-nucleotide unclassified non-coding RNA is filed under the name soil metagenome. RNAcentral describes it as "partial internal transcribed spacer 1". The record is from RNAcentral.
AGAGUUGCAAAACUCCCACAACCAUUCGUGAACGUACUGAAAAGUUGCUUCGGCGGGGCUCUCGGACGGACCGCCGGAGGAGAUACCAAACUCUUGGUUUUUUGGCAUCUCUGAGUAUGCUUAUAAAUAAGUUA